AUGGAGACAUGGCGUAAAGCCAGGGAGUAAGGGACACGAACUCAUUUAGACUAUAACUUGAACUGAGUUACAUCUCAUUUU
Non-coding RNA from Rattus norvegicus (Norway rat), 81 nucleotides. Lineage: Eukaryota; Metazoa; Chordata; Mammalia; Rodentia; Muridae. The record is from Rfam.